Molecule: transfer RNA, 76 nt
Filed under: Rheinheimera lutimaris
Lineage: Bacteria; Pseudomonadati; Pseudomonadota; Gammaproteobacteria; Chromatiales; Chromatiaceae
Description: Rheinheimera sp. YQF-2 tRNA-Lys
Rfam family: tRNA
About the family: Transfer RNA (tRNA) molecules are approximately 80 nucleotides in length. Their secondary structure includes four short double-helical elements and three loops (D, anti-codon, and T loops).
Source: RNAcentral
GGGUCGGUAGCUCAGUUGGUAGAGCCGUUGACUUUUAAUCAAUUGGUCGCUGGUUCGAAUCCAGCACGACCCACCA